RNAcentral lists this ribosomal RNA (412 nucleotides) under Acanthamoeba sp. RAC029. Its description in RNAcentral is "SSU rRNA". It matches the Rfam family "Eukaryotic small subunit ribosomal RNA", at positions 762 to 1112 of the family's 1831-position model. Lineage: Eukaryota; Discosea; Longamoebia; Acanthamoebidae. The record is from RNAcentral.
AAAAUUAGAGUGUUCAAAGCAGGCAGACAUUAAUCUCUGCCACCGAAUACAUUAGCAUGGGAUAAUGGAAUAGGACCCUGUCCUCCUAUUUUCAGUUGGUUUUCGAGGACCAGGGUAAUGAUUAAUAGGGAUAGUUGGGGGCAUUAAUAUUUAAUUGUCAGAGGUGAAAUUCUUGGAUUUAUGAAAGAUUAACUUCUGCGAAAGCAUCUGCCAAGGAUGUUUUCAUUAAUCAAGAACGAAAGUUAGGGGAUCGAAGACGAUCAGAUACCGUCGUAGUCUUAACCAUAAACGAUGCCGACCAGCGAUUAGGAGACGUUGAAUACAAAACACCACCAUCAGGCGGGUCGUUCCUGGCUGGUCUCGCGCAAGCGGGGCUGGUGGGGGCGAUUCGUUUCCCUGAUGGCCCGGUGAA